UGGGGAAUUUUGGACAAUGGGCGGAAGCCUGAUCCAGCCAUUCCGCGUGAGUGAAGAAGGCCUUCGGGUUGUAAAGCUCUUUCGGCAGGAACGAAACGGUCUUGGAUAAUACCUGAGGCUAAUGACGGUACCUGAAGAAGAAGCACCGGCUAACUACGUGCCAGCAGCCGCGGUAAUACGUAGGGUGCGAGCGUUAAUCGGAAUUACUGGGCGUAAAGCGUGCGCAGGCGGUUCUAUAAGACAGAUGUGAAAUCCCCGGGCUUAACCUGGGAACUGCGUUUGUGACUGUAGAACUCGAGUGUGGCAGAGGGGGGUGGAAUUCCACGUGUAGCAGUGAAAUGCGUAGAGAUGUGGAGGAACACCGAUGGCGAAGGCAGCCCCCUGGGUCAACACUGACGCUCAUGCACGAAAGCGUGGGGAGCAAACAGG
Molecule: ribosomal RNA, 429 nt
Filed under: uncultured bacterium
Lineage: Bacteria
Description: bacterial SSU rRNA
Rfam family: Bacterial small subunit ribosomal RNA
Source: RNAcentral